ACUCCUACGGGAGGCAGCAGUGAGGAAUAUUGGACAAUGGGCGCAAGCCUGAUCCAGCAAUGCCGCGUGUGUGAAGAAGGCCUGCGGGUUGUAAAGCACUCUCGGUAGGAAAGAAAAGGCCGUCGCUAAUACCGACGGUUCUUGACGUUACCUACAGAAGAAGCACCGGCUAAUUCCGUGCCAGCAGCCGCGGUAAU
RNAcentral lists this ribosomal RNA (197 nucleotides) under uncultured bacterium. RNAcentral describes it as "partial 16S ribosomal RNA". It matches the Rfam family "Bacterial small subunit ribosomal RNA", at positions 335 to 524 of the family's 1533-position model. The record is from RNAcentral.